UACCGCGUGGAGGAGGAAGGCCCGUGGGUCGUAAACUCCUUUUCUCAGAGAAGAACACAAUGACGGUAUCUGAGGAAUAAGCAUCGGCUAACUCCGUGCCAGCAGCCGCGGUAAUACGGAGGAUGCAAGCGUUAUCCGGACUGAUUGGGUGUAAAGCAUCUGUAGGCGGUUUUGGAAGUCUACGGUUAAAUCCCAGAGCUUAACUUUGGUUCAGCCGUAGAGUACUUCAAAGCUUGAGUAUGGUAGGGGUAGAGGGAACUUCUCGUGGAGCGGUGAAAUGCACAGAGAUGAGAAGGAACACCAGUGGCGAAAGCGCUCUACUGGGCCAUGACUGACGCUGAGAGAUGACAGCUGAGGGAGCGAAUAGGAUUAGAUACCCUAGUAGUCUCAGCCGUAAACGAUGGAUACUAGAUGUUGCCACAAGCAGUGUCGAAGCUAACGCGUUAAGUAUCCCACCUGGGGAGUACGUACGCAAGUAUGAAA
RNAcentral lists this ribosomal RNA (483 nucleotides) under bacterium enrichment culture clone KR 1996/1_DG5f. RNAcentral describes it as "bacterial SSU rRNA". It matches the Rfam family "Bacterial small subunit ribosomal RNA", at positions 395 to 899 of the family's 1533-position model. The record is from RNAcentral.